AUGAAGAUGGAGCUGGAAUCACUGGGUCUCUGGCCAGGUUCCCUUCCUGUAAGCAACCCCAUGAAGAUGGUGUCACUGUGGCGUUUCCCACCCCAGCCUGAACUGAUAGACAGCAUAUCACAUUUUCCGUCGCCAUCGUACUUUCAGCUUCACCCGUUUUUCAUAUGGAAGCCGGAGAACGACAUUAUGGCACGGCUGAGGAACACCUACGCCUUGCCUUGUGUUAAAGGUUGUCUUCAGCCUCAGGUUACCUCUGCAGGUGUUGGCAGACCUCGUGUCAUUGUGGGACUCACUGGACAGUACUACCUGUUUUCAUCCAGGCUGUGCUGCAAAGUCUGCAAGAGAAGAUGGUUUGCGGACAAUCCACAGUGGCUGGAAAAGCUUCCAAAGAGGUUUACAAAUGUGUUGCCAGCAACGCUGACCUACAAGAAGGCCAUUUGUAAAUCAGUCAUGGACGAACUAAGACGCACUGGGAACUCCCCCACAGACAUAACAAAUCAAGUAAUGGAGGUAAUGCACCUUAAGUAUGAACGUGCCAACCUGGCUUACCUACUCAGCUGCCAGAACAUUAUGGAUGGUGAGUCUGGAAAGUACGGGCAACAAACCAUCACACAGUUCAUACGAAAGGAAACGAAACCAGCUCCUUUCGGCGAAUAUGGUGAUUCGGACGGCUGGAACGGGAUUUCUGUUUCGUCACACUACCUGAUUGACUGUCUACUGAGCGAGUACCAGCACCAGGAAGGAGCCAUCAACAAACUGCUGCAAGGCACUUUUGGACAUGCUUUCCGCUCAGACCACACCCGCAAGGUUGCACGCAAGGUCACCUUUUCAUCUGGAGCCAUGUCAUCAUAUGCAGUGAUGAAUGAACACUGGAUGAUCGUUUCAUGGGUGAUGGUACAGUCGGAGACAGAAAAGUCACUGAGGCCCAUGUACGAAGGACUGUCUAACCGGUACGACACUGCGGGCAUAGAGAAGGCCCGGUACCACUGGGUAGACAGAGAUUGCUGUGCAGCCUUUAAGGUGGCCGAGUGUGCACAGGGAGAGCACCUACAGUGGGAAGCUUGGCAGACGUCUGAUGUGAUAACUGCUCAGGCCACUUCUGGGACUUUGCUGAAUGUCUGUGCAUCAAGGGCCUAUUACAACACGGCCAUAACCAUCAAACUGGAUCUGUUCCACUGCAUGCGCCGGUUCCUCCGUGAGUGCGUCUCAGAGCAUCAUCCCCUGUACAGUUCCUUUGCCCAGUUCCUGUCUGCAGCCUUCUCUGUGGUGGAUCAGGAAGACCUGCAGAGGCUGAAGGAUGCCUACACGUUUUGUGGCAUUCAACCUGCUAAUCCCACUAAACAGCACAUUCGUGAACACUGCAGGACCAAGAUUCCAGGGCCGGAUGAGUUAAUUCAGAGAGUGGAGGCGGUUUUGAAACACUUCUACCUCGCUGAAGAUCCAAAUGGGACUCGUCUGUUUAAGCCCUCUAUGUUAAAGGUGUGGCGGAUCCAGCGUGUGCACAUCCUGCGAGGUUGUCUGAGUGACCCAGAGGUGGAAGGUGGGAUCCUGUACAGACAUGGAGGAACGCUGCAGUUGAACCAUGUGAAGGGCGAAGGUGCCAAAGUUCCUGUUUGGAUCCCCAUCAGAGGCACAUCUCAGCAGGAGGGUUACCACUUCCACCAGGCUCAGUGGGUCACAGGAACAUGCGUUUCUCCAGAGCUGUUUCAGGCUCAAGGAAUGACUGGGGUGGCUCGAUGGAACUACCAGCGGCUUGUGGACUUGAAACAGCCAGGGGUUUCCCUCCCAGCUGCCUUUGACCCAGCUUUGAUUGCAGACCUCAAUGCAGCGUCUGGACGUGUGUUUGGGACUGUGAAGUAUCCUGCUCUUCAUCUGUGUGGCAAAGACACUGGGGAGAAGUUUGGCCUGGAGUACGUGGAGCCUGGUACCCGUCCUGUUCCUCUGCAGUGGGAUAAGCACAGGACCAAGACGGACUCAACACCUGCCCCAAGUCCACCUCCUCGGAGCAGUUCACCUGUGGCCCAGGCUGAAGCUCUACAAGGACCCCCCACCGCUUCACCAAAGCUGUUUUGUUUUUCACCACGUCCUCCGGUGGAACCUGCAGAUGAGACUCCAGCACCAGCAUGUGGGCCUGUCAAAGUUCAAGAAAGCAUGUUUCCACCACCUCUGCCCCUGAAGCCCUCACCAACUGCUGCUCGCACUGGACCUGUAAAGACAGGAGGACGGGUUUUUGUGUUGGACCACAGGCGCUGGCCAGCUCCUAUGAGGAAGGUCAUCGAUGACUUGCUGACCAAAUACCAUGGACAGAAGGACAUGCUCAGGCUUGUGGACCACGAGUAUGCAGCUCUAGUUCACAAGUCCUGUACGGAUCCGAACAGUUUAUUACACCCCACAACCAAAUUGCACAUUUCCCAGUACGUUAAGCACCUUAGCAAGGCUAUGAACACCAGCUCUUCUCUGAAUGUAAGUCCAGAGAAAGUACAAGAGACACAACAACUCUGGCACACUCUGACAGCAGGAAGUGAGACCACCAACGUGCCUGUUGUGGCAAUGCCUUCUCCUACAACAAUUCCACCCCCACCUGUUCAGUCCCCUGCCAACAUAUCUUUAACACAGGAGGCUAUUGAAAAAAUAGUUUUAGGCAUUAUGGAGAAGCAGCAGCAGCAGAGGCAGGAAGAGGAGCAAAAGAAGGUCCGGACAAAAACCUGUCAGUCUUGUGGGCAGCGCAAAUCGAGGUACCACAACGAUGGUUCCUCGUUCCACUUCUUCUACCAGCAAGGUCCCAUCAGGUACUUUUACUGCUCCACAAAGGUUUUUAAAACCUAUGCUGCAGAAGGUCUCACCAAUCCUGCAAUGCCAUUUGCAGACUUUGCCAAAACAGACUUUUUUCAGCGGGAACUGGACGCUACCAAGAAAAAGGUGGAGGAGAAAGGGCAACAGAAAAGAAAAAGAACUGAGCCUGAGCCUCCUCUUGCAUCUCCAUCCACAGGACGCAGGUGUGGCUUCUGCCGAAAAGAACUGAAACAGGGCCCCAACAGCCCUCACAUACACACCGGCUUCCCUGGUAUUGCUGGCAAAUACAUUUACUGCCCAGCAAAAGUUCUCUCCUUGUAUGAGGAUAAGGGUAUGGAGAGAGAGAUGACCUGGAAGGAGUUUCAGGCAUCUCCUUUCUUUAAUAUGGAAAGAGAGAGAUGGGCAGUAGAGAAGGGAAAGCGGUGAGAUAUUCAGUGAUAUUUGCACAUUAUUUCUUUUUGUAAUGAUGUUCCUGUCACUUUUGGAUUUUUUUCUAAUUGACACAUAUAUAUAUACAUAUACUUGUUUCCAUUGUAAAUAGUUAAGCUGGUUUUAUACUAUAUUUUAGUUCAUCAAACACUUUGUUACAUUUUUCUUAUUUAUAAAUAUUUAUUUUUUCUUUGCAAAUAUGUCUCCCUGCUUUUGAACUAUACUUUAGUUGAUCAAACACUUUGUUACAGUUUUAUUAUUUAUAAAUAUUUAUUUUUUUCUUUGCAAAUGUGUCUUCCUGCUUUUGAACUAUAUUUUAGUUGAUCAAACACUUUGUUACAGUUUUAUUAUUUAUAAAUAUUUAUUUUUUUCUUUGGAAAUAUGUCUCCCUGCUUUUGAACUAUACUUUAGUUGAUCAAACACUUUGUUACAGUUUUAUUAUUUAUAAAUAUUUAUUUUUUGUUUGGAAAUAUGUCACCCUGCCUUUAAACUAUAUUUUAGUUCAUUAAAAGCUUUUAAUUAAUAUUGUAUGAAUGUCUCUUUGGAUUUAUUGCAGAAAGAGUACUUCAGUCUUCAGAAUUGAGUCAGAGGAAUGUUGCAGCUGCUCAGCAUGUUGGGCAGCUGCAAUUUCAUUGGCUGGCAGCUCAUGCCAGCUAUGCACAACUUGCCUCCGCACAACAAGCGGAGAUACUGGCCACUAUACCGCAAAAGGACACAGAAAGUGCAGGUUAGGAGGAUCCACAGGUUGGAGGAUGGAGAAUCUCCAGGUUGGUGUGUGUGUGUGUGUGUGUGUGUGUGUGUGUGUGUGGGGGGGGGGGAAUACAGGGAGGGCCAUGACGUUGUAUGCUUUGCGCUCCCUCGCGCGCGAACAAAUUUUACACCUUUUCCUCUUGCCCUUUUGCGCCCGGUCGCUAGCGGUGGAACCAAGGGCGUCGUCUUCUCCUCUGUCACCCUCGUCGUCUCUGUCUUCACCCCAGACGAGGUCUGCGGUGGAGGA
RNAcentral lists this long non-coding RNA (4219 nucleotides) under Betta splendens (Siamese fighting fish). Its description in RNAcentral is "lncRNA (ENSBSLG00000024983.1)". Lineage: Eukaryota; Metazoa; Chordata; Actinopteri; Anabantiformes; Osphronemidae. The record is from RNAcentral.